RNAcentral lists this ribosomal RNA (828 nucleotides) under Halococcus sp. Its description in RNAcentral is "bacterial SSU rRNA". It matches the Rfam family "Archaeal small subunit ribosomal RNA", at positions 35 to 864 of the family's 1478-position model. The record is from RNAcentral. Lineage: Archaea; Methanobacteriati; Methanobacteriota; Halobacteria; Halobacteriales; Halococcaceae.
GGGGUCCGAUUCAGCCAUGCUAGUUGUACGGGUUUAGACCCGUAGCAAAUAGCUCCGUAACACGUGGUCAAACUACCCUCUGGACCGGAAUACCCUCGGGAAACUGAGGCUAAUUCCGGAUACUGCUAUCAUGUUGGAACACAGAAAGUCGGAAACGGUCCGCCGCCGGAGGACGUGACUGCGGCCGAUUAGGUAGACGGUGGGGUAACGGCCCACCGUGCCGAUAAUCGGUACGGGUUGUGAGAGCAAGAACCCGGAGACGGUAUCUGAGACAAGAUACCGGGCCCUACGGGGCGCAGCAGGCGCGAAACCUUUACACUGCACGCCAGUGCGAUAAGGGGACCCCGAGUGCGAGGGCAUACAGUCCUCGCUUUUCGUGACCGUAAGAAGGUCUCAGAAUAAGAGCUGGGCAAGACCGGUGCCAGCCGCCGCGGUAAUACCGGCAGCUCGAGUGAUAGCCACUAUUAUUGGGCCUAAAGCGUCCGUAGCCGGCCGAACAGGUCCGUCGGGAAAUCCACCCGCUCAACGGGUGGACGUCCGGCGGAAACCAGUCGGCUUGGAGCCGGGAGACCAGAGAGGUACGUCCGGGGUAGGAGUGAAAUCCCGUAAUCCUGGACGGACCGCCGGUAGCGAAAGCGUCUCUGGAGAACGGACCCGACGGUGAGGGACGAAAGCUUGGGUCUCGAACCGGAUUAGAUACCCGGGUAGUCCAAGCUGUAAACGAUGCUCGCUAGGUGUGGCGUUGGCUACGAGCCAGCGCUGUGCCGUAGGGAAGCCGAGAAGCGAGCCGCCUGGGAAGUACGUCCGCAAGGAUGAAACUUAAAGGAA